Bombus impatiens (common eastern bumble bee) is the source of this 367-nucleotide long non-coding RNA. RefSeq lists it as uncharacterized. Lineage: Eukaryota; Metazoa; Arthropoda; Insecta; Hymenoptera; Apidae. The transcript is spliced from 2 exons. The record is from RefSeq and is a predicted model, not a curated record.
GAUAGCAUUAGUAUUUGGCUUUGUGAGUAGCAUACAGGUACUUUAUAGUUCCACUGCGCGGAUUGCUAUUCCUGGAACUAAAAGGUUUCUUUCAAGAUAAUCCGCAUAUGAAAUGAGUGGGUGGGUCGUCACAUAGGUCCUGGUCGUCUGGAUCUAAGUCAUCGAAACAGUCUUGACAAAGAUGACCGUUAUCUAAAUGGUAGACGGAACGUAUCAACCGAACACAGAGGCAAGACUGAACAUCCUCCGUCGCUUCCAGAUCGAAUGCGGGUACGCCCCGUCUGAGUCCUCUAUGUUAGGGUUGAUGAAUUCGCCAUCUAUUCUGUACACACAUACGAAAACAGUUAACAUAUAUUUUAUAAUUUUA